RNAcentral lists this small nucleolar RNA (167 nucleotides) under Aotus nancymaae (Ma's night monkey). Its description in RNAcentral is "Small nucleolar RNA SNORA4 (ENSANAG00000003227.1)". Lineage: Eukaryota; Metazoa; Chordata; Mammalia; Primates; Aotidae. The record is from RNAcentral.
UACCAAAAGUUAAUGUUUUGAGGGAAUGUUUUUUACCAGCUUGGGCUGUUUGGGAUAAUAACAUUGACUAAGUUCCAUAGUGGGUUAUAACACACACACACACACAUAUAUAUAUAUAUAUAUAUAUAUAUAUAUAUAUAAUUCACUACUAUUUUGUUCUCUACAUU